CGGAAGAAAGCGGGGGAUCCUUCGGGACCUCGCGCUAUAGGGGCGGCCGAUGGCAGAUUAGCUAGUUGGUGGGGUAAAGGCCUACCAAGGCGACGAUCUGUAGCUGGUCUGAGAGGACGACCAGCCACACUGGGACUGAGGCACGGCCCAGACUCCUACGGGAGGCAGCAGUGGGGAAUUUUGGACAAUGGGGGCAACCCUGAUCCAGCAAUGCCGCGUGUGUGAAGAAGGCCUUCGGGUUGUAAAGCACUUUUGUCCGGAAAGAAAACCUACCUGUUAAUACCGGGUGGGGAUGACGGUACCGGAAGAAUAAGCACCGGCUAACUACGUGCCAGCAGCCGCGGUAAUACGUAGGGUGCGAGCGUUAAUCGGAAUUACUGGGCGUAAAGCGUGCGCAGGCGGUCUGUUAAGACCGAUGUGAAAUCCCCGGGCUUAACCUGGGAACUGCAUUGGUGACUGGCAGGCUAGAGUAUGGCAGAGGGGGGUAGAAUUCCACGUGUAGCAGUGAAAUGCGUAGAGAUGUGGAGGAAUACCGAUGGCGAAGGCAGCCCCCUGGGCCAAUACUGACGCUCAUGCACGAAAGCGUGGGGAGCAAACAGGAUUAGAUACCCUGGUAGUCCACGCCCUAAACGAUGUCAACUAGUUGUUGGGGAUUCAUUUCCUUAGUAACGUAGCUAACGCGUGAAGUUGACCGCCUGGGGAGUACGGUCGCAAGAUUAAAACUCAAAGGAAUUGACGGGGACCCGCACAAGCGGUGGAUGAUGUGGAUUAAUUCGAUGCAACGCGAAAAACCUUACCUACCCUUGACAUGGACGAAACCCGGGUGAGAGCCUGGGGUGCUCGAAAGAGAAUCGUCGCACAGGUGCUGCAUGGCUGUCGUCAGCUCGUGU
This 890-nucleotide ribosomal RNA is filed under the name Burkholderiaceae bacterium W2b. RNAcentral describes it as "bacterial SSU rRNA". It matches the Rfam family "Bacterial small subunit ribosomal RNA", at positions 197 to 1065 of the family's 1533-position model. The record is from RNAcentral. Lineage: Bacteria; Pseudomonadati; Pseudomonadota; Betaproteobacteria; Burkholderiales; Burkholderiaceae.